Eriocheir sinensis (Chinese mitten crab) is the source of this 1682-nucleotide long non-coding RNA. RefSeq lists it as uncharacterized. The transcript is spliced from 2 exons. The record is from RefSeq and is a predicted model, not a curated record. NCBI's taxonomy places the organism in Eukaryota, Metazoa, Arthropoda, Malacostraca, Decapoda, Varunidae.
GAUUUCCGACCCAAAAACUGUCUCCUCCACUCCAAUAACUACAUUUAUUUAUAGUUACCGGUGAAAGGUUUAAUUAUUAGUGUCUUUUUGCUAUAGAUAAGUGUCUGAAAGCAGUAAAUACAAUGGUGAAUACGAUAAUCUGGCAAUGCUGGGUCAUUUAACAAGUAAGAAUAUUAGAAAAUUAAAGAAAGAAAAAGGAAGAAAGAGAAUGAUAGGAAGUUAAGAGGAGAAGAAAGAAGAAAAAAAUAAUGUAACACCGCCUCGCCUCAGGGAAAACAAAGGCGCCUCACGAUCCGCAACGUUCGCCAUGAAAAUGAGGGGAAAAAAAAGUGAAUUUCCCGGAUUUUGGAGAUUUGUGAGCAUGAUACGCGUGCUUGAAGAAAAUAAAAAUACAAAAAACGAAUAAAAGUCCUCCAUGUAAUUUCUUUCUUCAGGGAUAUUGUGCCUUAAGUACGAAUAUUAGUUUUUUUGUAUAUUUAAUUAAUUUCCUACUUUUGUUUCCUUUAAUCAGUUUCUUGGUUACAUAUAAAGUCAAAUUACCUUGUCACUCUUUUUUCUUUUUAUUUCCCUUACAUUAACUAUCAAUCAAUCAAUCCUUUUUUUUUUUAGUUCAUUUUAGUAUUUAGUUUUAGAUUUGUAAAUAAGUUAAGAAGAAAUAAAUAUAUAUAACAUUAUACAUACAAUUUCUCUUCCCAAGGACCGUGACAAGAGAAAGCUUUCCUAUAAACGUAUGAGAGAUGAAGGUCUGUGGAGUUCCAUUGCAUCGAUCAUGUAUAAGCAAAUGGCUCUCUAUAUUGCAAGGAGUUAUUGCAUUAUGAAGAGCGCCUGAGCGAGUUACCUGGUAGUGCGUGUAUACCUGAGUGACUGAUGACAUGUAGCUUUUACCUGUACUGAUGCAUUAUUUCAGGUAAAGGAGGGAAGGAAGAGUUAGGGAUCGAGAGGAAUGGAAUAGGAAGAGAAUAUAUAAAUUGAGUUACCUUGCAGUGCGUGUAUACCUGAUUGAGUGGCUGAUUACGUAGCUAUACCUGUACUGAUGCAUUAUUUAAGGUGAGGUUAAUUAAGGUUAUUUCAGGUAAAGGAGGGAAGGAAGAGUUAGGGAUCGAGAGGAAUGGAAUAGGAAGAGUAUAUAUUAAUUGAGUUACCUUGUAGUGAUAUACCUGAGUGACUAAUGAUCAACGUACCUAUUACCUGUACUGAUGCGCGUUAUUUGAGGUACGGUACAUCAGGUAGAUAUAAUGAUAAUUCUGACUAACUAAAGAUGAACUAAUGCAGAUAUAAUUCGCUUGCUAUUAUUAUCAUUAUUAUUAUUAUUAUUAGUUAUUAUUAUUAUUUAGGGGGAAAGGAUGAGUGACUUUUUUAUUUUAUUUCCGUAGCAAUUAACAAAGAUUAGAUGUGUCUUUUUAUUAUUUACUGUACUAUAGUUAAUGUUAUAUAUAUUCAUGAUUAUUUUGGUUAUUAUUUUAUUUAUUCAUGGAACAAUUAAUUAGCAGUGUCGAUGAAGCGUAUUUCGUUAUUUUUCUUCUUCAUUUUACUGUAUUUAUUAUUUAUUUAUGAAAGUUUUAUGUACUUUGCUAUUUGAGAACUCUCCUUCCUCAUAGUCCACUUUUUUUUCGUGGUCCACUUAGCUCUCUCUCUCUCUCUCUCUCUCUCUCUCUCUCUCUCUCUCUCUCUCUCUCUCUCUC